CCUACGGGGGGCAGCAGUGGGGAAUAUUGGACAAUGGGCGAAAGCCUGAUCCAGCCAUGCCGCGUGUGUGAAGAAGGCCUUCGGGUUGUAAAGCACUUUCAGUGGGGAAGAAAGCCUUGGGGCUAAUACCCUCGAGGAAGGACAUCACCCACAGAAGAAGCACCGGCUAACUCCGUGCCAGCAGCCGCGGUAAUACGGAGGGUGCGAGCGUUAAUCGGAAUUACUGGGCGUAAAGCGCGCGUAGGCGGUCUGAUAAGCCGGUUGUGAAAGCCCGGGCUCAACCUGGGAACGGCAUCCGGAACUGUCAGGCUAGAGUGCAGGAGAGGAAGGUAGAAUUCCCGGUGUAGCGGUGAAAUGCGUAGAGAUCGGGAGGAAUACCAGUGGCGAAGGCGGCCUUCUGGACUGACACUGACGCUGAGGUGCGAAAGCGUGGGUAGCAAACAGGAUUAGAUACCCUGGUAGUC
RNAcentral lists this ribosomal RNA (464 nucleotides) under Vreelandella stevensii. RNAcentral describes it as "partial 16S ribosomal RNA". It matches the Rfam family "Bacterial small subunit ribosomal RNA", at positions 338 to 795 of the family's 1533-position model. Lineage: Bacteria; Pseudomonadati; Pseudomonadota; Gammaproteobacteria; Oceanospirillales; Halomonadaceae. The record is from RNAcentral.